AAGAGUUGAUCCUGAGAUAAAGAAAUGCAUAAGCAGAGAUAUAUUUUCGUAAAAUGGUAAAAGCUGGAAAUGGCACUCAGCCAAUUGGAAAGCCCGAAAUACCCCGCGUAUCAUGGCCCAUUAAGGUCCUCAGUCUUGCAUCUCUGGAGUGGCGACCCCUUUGUUUCUUUGCUCAUGUAAAUAUUGAAGUACUUUGGCUCCUGAUGGUUGAUUAAAAGAUUACUGCAGAAGAGUCACCAAAGCAUAAAGAAGAGCCAACAAACAAAAGAAAAGUUUAUUUGCGUAACUUGUCAGGAAUUUGCUCUUUGAAGCAGCUUGAUUGGAAAAUGAAUAAUCUUGUAAUAACCAUGUAUUAUUUAAAUACAAAUAAUUCCGACCAACACGAGAGACAUGAUUUCCAGGUUAGAGCUGCAGCUCACUGAACCAUAAAGCAAAAUCAAAUAAUCAGUACCAAUUUACCUGCUGGACUGCAGACGAUUGUGUAAAAUGGUUAAAUGUACAAUUUAACGGGAGGGAAUGCACCAUAAUGAAAUCGGCAAAUAUGCUUACGUGACUUCAAUUUAAUUUUUCCACUUUUUCUCCUUUUUUUAUGGGUGCAGCUGCAGUUGGAAGUUCUAAUUAGACACACACACACACACUCAAUAAUGGGAUGAGGGCGGCAAAAGGGUGUGGUGAAGAUGGAGGGAGCUACGGAAAGUAAAUGCAAAAUGCAUACCCACACAAUAUCGGAUGCACAAUCGGAAUAAAAUGAAUAAAAGGAAAGUAUUUAGUGCGUUGAAAUGCACGGGAACGAAACCGAUUUUCAUCUCUGUCCCUAGAUCAUCAAUAGAAUAAAUUAUAACUUGUGGACCCAAAAACUGUCAAAAAAAUCUCGUCUCAUAUUCCGAGGAAACCUUUUCAUAACGUAUUUAAACAAGUACAUUUAAGAAAAUAGAUACACAACAAUUAAAAUAUUUACAAAACAAAUCUCUCUGUAACGUUGUUUGUAAAACUGCAUAAAUUCAAACGAAGUUAUUGAUAAGAAGACAUUGAAACCAUAAAAAUAUGAAGCCUAUUAAGCAGCUUUAAUCAAGUAAUAACCUCAUCUUUUAUCAAGAAUAAAACUACAAAUAAACCCCAAGAUGAUUUUAUUCACAAGUUGAUGAUAAUAAUGUGCUUUCUGCUCAAUGUUUUUCUCAUUCAAUUACUGCAAAUUUACAUGGAGCUUGCCAGUUUAUCCCAGUGUUAAUUAAGCUAAACAAUUAUUACAAUUAUCUUAAAUUCAGGCUUUGUUAACUUUUUUUCUACGUGCUCAUUGCGUUAUAUGUAUACGUAAUAUGUUUCCCAUAAACGAAGGAAUGUGAGUAAAUGCGAGAAUGAUUGCAAAAUUUAUUGAUUAAUUAAUUGUAAUGUUAUGGGUGAGCCCCAACUGGGCCCCAACUCCCAUCAUCGCAUCAUACCCAUCGAUUCCACUCCCAGUCCAUUGUCCGUUACGGUCUGAGCCCAUCAGACUGAGUGAUUUGCCUCGACGCGCUUUUCAUAAUAACAAAACAAUAAAUAAGUAAAUAAAAGAGUGCAUAAAAAGAGAGAGAAUAAUAAACAAGGUGACAAAGACGAGAGCUCUCUUCAAUAUUUAUGCCAGGGCAGACAGGCUCCGAAAGCCAGAAAGCGAAAACUUACUAUAUAAAUUGGACAUGAUGUAUGUAAAUACGUUGUACAUAAUGAAUUACUUGACCGGCAUACCGGAUACGCAUUUUAAAUUUGUUUUAUUUUUGUGUCCCUCUAUCUACAUUUGUGUGUAUGUGCAUAAUGUGACGCUACGGACUGUAAGCCUCGCAACCCCCACUUAGUUUCAAUCUGUCUACGCUCAUGCCCAAAUGAGUAAGCUCCAGAGGUAUUUAUUAUAGAACAAAUUUCAUAUAAAAAGUAUGGACAGUAGGUACUCGUGAGUGACUAAGUAGAACUAUUGAAACAAACAGGAGUGCCUCGACUAGCAGUUACCUAUUUCAUAACAUUUCAUUUGCAAACAUACAGCAUUGAUUGUAGAUCAAAUCAAGGAGCAUAUGACUGACAUUGAAUGAAUCAAAGUUGUAGGCAGUGAGUAAUAGGCAGAUGUUAUUCACUUGUCUUAUUUCGUUUUGCCGACCAAUAAUGGAACCUUAAGUACAUUUCAUAUCAUAUUAAGAAUAAACCGCAUGCGCUACUAAAAUUGGUUUUCAUGCGAAUCAUGAACAGAAUCGGAAAAACCUAGGCACAUGUGUGCUCAGUGAGUCAAUCAACCACGUAAUAUUUAUUUCUGCUAAUCUAUUAUAUCAUUUUAAAACAAUAUUGUGAAUACUUCAAAGGAUUUUUAUAAGCCAAACAAAUGCAGUUUCCCUUCUAAGAACUUUGGAUGUAUUUGUUAGUUCGGCGAUGAAAAAAACCGAGUGUGAAAAUUUUCUAAAUGAACGUGCGUAACACAAUGACUUGUUUACCGAUAAAGAGAGUUUAGGAGAGUCUGACUAAUCACUUUCCUCAGUUUCCGGCACGAUUUAUUAUCCCUUGGAAUAAUUUAAGAUCUACCUAAUCAACAGAUUUCCUUUGAAUAACUUAACUAUCUUGCAUUAAAUUCCCAUGAACUCUGAAGUCGAUUACGAUUUAUCCACUCUUUUCCGCAAAAAAACAGAUGGUCUAUGUUUUUAUCAUUAGUGGUUUUUUUUCGCUAUGCUCUUUUUUUGCCGACCGCAAAGGAAGUGAACAGCAAAGAUAAACUUAUGUUAUGUUUGCCCUACGAGGCAGAUAAAGGGGUUCACAUAAUGUGGAAGCCUCAUUUUUUCUGCAGCGUCCGAUAGAUAAAGAAAAUCCAAAUGGACAAUGCGUUUAACAAAGCCAUGAAUGUACGGCCAUUGAAUGCAUCGAGGGCUGCCAUUAGAGUUCAAAUAAAGUUUAAAACUUAAUACUCAUUAAAUACAGCACCCCCUUCUACUAUACAAAAAAAGGGAAAAGUACAUAAAAUACAUUUUCAAAAUGUUAUUAAAGGUUCAAAAAGUAAGCAUAAAUGUUUUCAUUAAAACAAUGAAACCUGCCCUCGCAUGGGCCAAGAUUGCUUAACAAAGUUAACAACAAUAACUUCUGUGGUUCACUGCCUUGCGGUUUGUCAGCCAUUGGCAAAGUCAUUAGGAAAGGCAGCUUACCCUGAAUCACCUCACCUUAACUACGCCCCUGCAGGCAAUUGUUUAUAGAUAUUGAUUCUAGGCCCAAGACUCUUAAGCAACGAAGUUAAAGCGAGUGAAAGUUGACUAGCUUGAGAAAGCUGGUAAGCGAUCGGGGAUGAGGAUUCGAUGCGGUUUAGUCUUUGUGUCUCUCUGUCUCACUGUAUUUAUGUCAAUUUAUGUGAAUAAUGACACCCACAACAUAAACCGCAAGAUAAGUCUCUUGAAAGUCAAAACUUUCAAUAAUGCAAUCACAUUAACGUUUUUAUUCAUUUGUAUUUGCAGCCGGCUCUCUGACGUUGCAAUAAAUACACUUUUACUUUCAAUUGAAUAGACCAUGGAGAUUUUAUUGGCCUGAUGCCAAUUUUAAUGCAAUUAAAGUGAAUUAAAAAAACAAACACAGUUAAACUGUUGCGACUGUGGUAUUCAUCUGUAAGCAAAAGAAGUACAAUAAAUAUCACAGCUGGAAUCGGGAGUAUUAUCAACCAAAAGUUUCACUGCCUAGCCUCCAUCAUGAAAGUUUAAUAAACCCAAGCGCCAGAGCUUAAAGAGGCUGGAUUCAAAAAAAUUAAGAACAAAAUUGCAAAAAAUCGAAGGAACUGUAAUUUAACCGGAAACACAUGCAGCAACUGCGUCUGAUUAGAUCCAGCCAAGGGCGAAUUAUUAGCGGCCACAUUGUCGGAUUGUUGUUAUUUUUAAACUAUGAAUCAGACAAACAACAAUUGCUGUCGAUCGGAAGCCGACUGCACGGACAUUGGCGCAUUGGAUCUGCCAGUCUCCGGUCCGUCCAGUCAAGUCAAACCAAGUCAAGUCAAGUCAAGUCCCCUUCAGUGGCAAUGGGCCCGCGAGCAGCACUUUUGCCUAAAUUAAGGUAAACACGAAUUAAGGCAAGCCGGAGACACAAGGCAAGGGCGAGGCCACCUCCAGCACCUCCAGCAGUUCCAGCACCUUCACAACGCCACUGAAAUGGCAAACAAACACAAUAUCGAGGGGCGAAAAAUGAAAAACAUAACAGCCAUAGGUAAACAGACGAAAACACACACUUUGAGUGCGAAAAGAAGGCAAUGAAUUUUGAACAAACAAUAGACCCAGAAUAGCAAAUGCUAUCUAAGGUCUGUCGAUAUGCGGAAUACCCUUGAAUUAUCAUAUAUUGGAUUAGAAAUUGACAACGGAAUGAGCAUUUGGGUUCAUGUUAGAUUAGGUGGGUUAACAGGAAUAUCGAAAUACAGAUACAUAUAAUAAUCUAUACAUAUAGAUCUUUGACAUAGUGAUAUAUUGGAAACCUUUUAUGUCUGCGAUAACAAUUGUUUAAAAGAUUUUACUAUAUCUAUUAAAGAUAAUAAAUUCAAAAACAAAUUUAUAACCUAAAACGUUAUGCUUAGUUAUAUUUAAAUCCUUUUAAUAACUAAUAUUCUAUACCAUAUUUACUUGCUUUGCGCGAAUUCUGUAUGGAACCGAUUCUUAUUAUAUUAGGUAUAUAGCAAACCCAUCCUUAUAAUUCUUAAUGGCUUUGAUAAACGAAUCAAUAUUUUGUGUCCCCAAAAAUGGCAUCAGAGUAAUAAAAACGUGCUUCCUUAUCAAGAUGCGCACGAAAGAAGUUACAACCAUGAGAUCAUACAGUGCGAAAAAGAAGUAAAGAAAUUGUGGAAUUAACAUGAAAAAAGGUGCCAAGUAUUUGAUCUUAUUAAUUUAUUAAGAUCCCCUAAUAAAUAUAAAAUUUUUAAGCUAUAUUUCAUAUGCUGAGGACAGUAUUUACAACCUUGAGAUCAAAACAAAAGAUCUUGAGAAUGGGCAUAAUGCCAAAAAUGAGCAGAUAAGUGGGAAACCCGUUGGAGGAGCAUUUCUCAUAUUACUGACUGGACUGGACUCGAUUGGACUGACCGACUGCCGAUAACUGAGAGCUCAAGCUGCGCCAUAUAAAUAAAGAGUUCUGCCCUCGACAUCCCCCUUUGUUCCCCUUUUGCUCGACAGAGAGAGAUAAGCCGCGAUCUCGAAGCCAUCCCAUCCCAUCCCAUCCAGCAGCUCCGGCGGACGCAGAGUGUGAGAAAGGGAGGGCAGGCGAGCGGACCCAUAUGCCGGCGGUACCAGUAAGUCCAGUGAGUCAGCGAGAGUGACUCGAGUGCGACAGAGAGGGCGACAAUCGAUCAAUUCGCUUUAAUUGCCAUUAGCAUGCCGAAUUGGAGUGGCUUUUUCGAGGGGUAACGUUGGAGGCGAAUCAAAUGGCGGCUGUGGGUCACUCUAUCCGUUACGCUUUUAUGACGGCCAACACUGAGAGCACUUUGGCUAUAUUCUCGGCUUAUUUUAUUUUUGGCAAUAUGUUCACUCGUAAAAUCUUAAUUACGCAGCCUUGUUCGAAGAAAAAACCGCCUAGUGGGAUGACAAACGAAUUCCGAUGACAGGCACACGCCUUUAGAACAGUGGUGGGAGUACUAUAAGUUUGACUUCAAAUUAGUUCAAUUCCCUUACUUCUAAUAAUAACAGAAGCAUAAAAACUAACCCUUACUUUCUUAUCGAUGCUUGAAUGCAAUAUGAUAUUAUGAAUAAUUCGUUGCAACGUGAUAUCUUGAGUGCAAUUUAAAACAUGGGAUUAGCUAAGUUGUUCAGCACAUAUGUAUACGGUGGUUUCCAUUCAGACCCCAGUCCACUGUGCCCUGCUUGGGGAGUUGUGCAAGCCGGAGCGGAGAACAGAACGGGACUGAAUCGAGUUGAACUGGGGAGAGGCGCAGAUACAAACUCUGAGAUACUCACGAACACCAGCAAACACUCACGUUCGCACAUGUGUGUGUGUGUGUGUGUUUGUGUGUGGCUGACAAAAAUUCAAGCGAACAAGUCGCCGCACACUCGAUGAGGUCAUCAAUCACAUGCAACAAAUGCGAGGGCGGAAAAAAAUGGGCUGGGGCAGGAAGCCAAUCCUUAAGCUUCUAUAUACCAGCUACUGCAUUCGCUAAGCAAACUGAAUCUCCCAAAUGGAAUUUUUGAAUAUAAACAAACAUUUCUUCUAGUGAAUUAAAAAAUAUAAACGAUUCGAACAUGAGUUCUCUAUUAGAAUGGAAUUGUAUUUAAGAACCAUUUACGCAGUUCAAUUUAUUUAUUUAAAUUUAUUUGUCGAUCCCAAAAGUGUUCAAGUCGCCUAAAAUAGCUUAUUCGUGGAUAUGCAGAUAGAAAUGUAUUUUAAGCUGCAUUUUAUACAAAAUAUAUGAAAAACAAUUGUAAGCUAAUAAAAAAGGAACUUUAAUUGCCAAUAACUAUGCAACGCUUUCUAGAAAUAUAUUGCUAGUUUUUUUAAAAAUGAUUUCAUAAAAUACUUUUGUUUAUUUUGGUUAGAUUGCUAAGAUUAUAAGCUCAUAAAUUAAGGAACAUCUACAAGGUAUAUAUAAUUGUAUAUUAUUAAUUGUGGGUACUAAACUGUCCAAGUUUAAGGUUGCAGAAAUGUUUCAGUUUUAAAGCAACAAAUAGCACAUAUUUUUUAGAUCUUAAAAAUUAUCUUUGUGUAUUGGAAUAACCCGGAAUCAUGUUGAAAUAUUUCUUAGAAACUUUGGCAUUUAGGAUUGAAAUAUAAAGGUAAACGACCAAAAUAAAUAUGAGUACUAAAACUUCUGCAAUUUUAAAUAAAUAUAGUUGGACAUUUUCUGUCGAAUAAUUGGGAAU
This is a long non-coding RNA of Drosophila yakuba, 6818 nucleotides long. RefSeq lists it as uncharacterized. The record is from RefSeq and is a predicted model, not a curated record. NCBI's taxonomy places the organism in Eukaryota, Metazoa, Arthropoda, Insecta, Diptera, Drosophilidae. The transcript is spliced from 3 exons.